RNAcentral lists this ribosomal RNA (451 nucleotides) under uncultured bacterium. RNAcentral's name for it is "partial 16S ribosomal RNA". It matches the Rfam family "Bacterial small subunit ribosomal RNA", at positions 354 to 796 of the family's 1533-position model. The record is from RNAcentral.
GUGGGGAAUAUUGGACAAUGGGGGGAACCCUGAUCCAGCCAUGCCGCGUGUGUGAAGAAGGCCUUUUGGUUGUAAAGCACUUUAAGCGAGGAGGAGGCUACCGAGAUUAAUACUCUUGGAUAGUGGACGUUACUCGCAAAAUAACCACCGGCUAACUCUGUGCCAGCAGCCGCGGUAAUACAGAGGGUGCAAGCGUUAAUCGGAUUUACUGGGCGUAAAGCGGGCGUAGGUGGCCAAUUAAGUCAAAUGUGAAAUCGCCGAGCUUAACUUGGGAAUUGCAUUCGAUACUGGUUGGCUAGAGUAUGGGAGAGGAUGGUAGAAUUCCAGGUGUAGCGGUGAAAUGCGUAGAGAUCUGGAGGAAUACCGAUGGCGACGGCAGCCAUCUGGCCUAAUACUGACACUGAGGUGCGAAAGCAUGGGGAGCAAACAGGAUUAGAAACCCUUGUAGUCC